CGUAGCUCAUCGGAUUCCUCCAGCAGUAUAAAUAUUCUGAUUCUGAUUGCAUCCGAACUGCAGCAGAGCUUGCAAGCAAAGUAGCAUUGAGCCUGGAGAGGGCUCGGAGAUAGGGCAGUGGUUGUGGGUGACCCCCCCCUACCCCUUUCCUUUUGAGACAACGGAAAUUUGUAUUUUAUUUAUAUUUACCAGAUAAAAAACGUUGCGUUUUAUUUAUGCAUUAUCAUUAUUGUAGGGCCCUAUUUAAAAAGGUUGACAUUCAGAACCGCGAUGGCAUGCGAGAGAGCUGACUGUGAAGUCCUCUCGAUCCACGAGGUGUCGACGCUCUCGAUGGUGUUGGUGGGGAAUUCAGGAGUGCGACUCCUGGGGAGAUGCAGGUGUUUAUAACAACGCCGCACAGUUAUCAUUUCAGCACUCUGGGAGUAUGUCGUUAUGAUUGCAUUAAAGUUAUUUUUAAUGGCGCUCACGGUCGACUCCUUUAGACAAACAUCUCAGACAACCGCAGACGCACUCUUACCGGUAUCGUCUACACUCAAACUCAUCACUUUCGUCUGCCUUUUGUCACCAGACGCGCUUUCCUCUCUCAUUGAACGCUUGUGAACCACGAUUAACCAGCAAGUAUGUACUGUAUGAAGUAAAAGAAACCGCACAAUACGGUAACGAGUUCAGAGCGGGAUUACUGCAAGACUUGAGGACUGACAAGCGGGCAGCCGAGGUGGCGUGCAUAAUUUUCGCAUCUUCAAAUCUUAUCUUAAAUCAUCUUAUCUUAUACUUACAAGAAGUAGUCGGUUUUCCCGGGGGGGAAAAAUAUUUUAAAAUUGUAUUCUCUUGAAAAAUAUAACAUACGCAAAUAUUGUACAAAAAAUGUUAUGUUUUGAGGAGAAUACAAUAUAAACUGUAAUGCUAAAAACGAAAUGCAACUGUGACCAUAAAACCCAAACGAUGGACCAGAUAAUAAAACACUGUGGUCUGCGUCUCUUCAAUGGAGGAAUAACAGGACGAUAUGAGCUCUCUCCUGAAGCCCUUUCGUUGCUAGCAGAACUCAACAUUGAUAUUUAUAGCUCCCCAACAUAGUGCCAAACGUAAGUAGAAGACUAAAACAUAUAUAACUGCACUUUAUUUCAUUUCAUACUUAUUUAGUGCCUUUAACACGACACAAAACUGCCCCUUACGCCCAGCAUGCCGACGAAGGGGAGACCCCCCCCCCCCAUCAUGAUCAUCGUGAUGUUCCAGGAUGAUCGUAGAUCCGCGGGUCGUGUGGCCCAGAUAAAGAGCAGCCCCACGCGCGCGUCGGAGCAAUCCACCUGCCGACGACGCGAGAACAACGUCGUGCGGGCGGCGCCACAAACAACCACCGGCAGAGACACAGAUCGCUGAGAGAACACCCGGCAAUUACUACAGGCAAGGGCGCCGUAAAGGGGUGGAAGGUUAGGACGAUUCUAAGGGCCCAGGCUGAUUUAGGGCCCAGAAGAGCAGACCCCCUUUUUUUUUCUUAUUUCUUUUCUAUGUUUUAUACAUACAUUAAAUGUGCUAGGGCCCCUCAUGCACUAAAUGUGUAUUUUGUCCGUUUUGACCAUAGAUUUAAUAUUUAAAAAAACAAAUAAUGUAUUUACUGUUUCAGUCACACCCCUCCCCCUCACAAUGGUUCAUUCCACCUGCGCUGUCCGAGGUACGAUCGCUAGUGUAGCGUCUCUUGCUUAUUGCACUUGCUAUGAUGCAGUGCAGACAGUGACACACGCAGGCAUGUCACAUCAAAAGUCAGGGCAUCAAAAACGGAAAGAAAAGAAGGAAAGAGAAGACAGGGAACGCCGAAGUCGACAGUAUGUCACACAGUUUUUAAAAAAGAAAGGUAGCUUGCCCUAUUCCUGUAUUCCAAAACUUUCAGUUACUUAUUUUUGUUGCUACAUGACCUGCUUUUAUAUAGUUAGCUUAGUAAAAUAAUUACUGAAUUAUGAUUUACAUCCAACAAUAAUAACAUCUCUGCUGUCUCCGGGGUUAUCAUGUCUCGUAGACACAGAUUCAGCGGCUGCUGCACAGCCACGUCCUCCUUCCCCCACAUCCCCCGUCCCCGUCUCAGCCGAACAAGAUGCAGAGUCAGCUUUAUUGUCUGCACCUCGUUCUCCUACUAAUGACCCAGUCUUCUCAGUGUCAGAGAGUGAGCGAGGAGCAGCGAUGAGCGGUGCACAGCAGGAGCGCUCCCGAGGGAGGGGGCACCAAGGCUGCUUGAGCGAAGCAAGCUGCUGUUGACAAGGAAUGAGGAGCAAUGUGGCCACAGACCAUUCCGACUGCUGAUCGAGCCUGGCGUGCAGAGAACCUGCGAACGUGCAGUGCAGCAGCAUACGGCUAACAACGAGCGUGCUGACUCGGAAGCCCCGAGUGCCCUCCAGCGUGGGUCGAGCUUGAUGCACAAAAAAACGUGCCUGGUGUCAAUGGGGGUGAUGCGCUGCCACCUAGCAGACGAGCUGCGAGUGCUACCUGGCGACGUGGCCACAGUGCACCCCUCUGCAGACUGAGUAUGACCCAUCGACCCCUUGCCAGCGGUGAGCCAUCAGCGUGCCGACUCGACAGCCACUCCACUUGUGGACGGAGCCGGACGGACACGCAGCCCGAGUGGAUCACACGCCGUGUACCGACACACGCCCGCCGACCCAACGCGCCCUGCUGGGGUCCUGAGGUAUUUUCGCUACAAUGGAACACGGAUAUGGCAAGCCUCCCACAGAUCCCGGGACCGCAGAGUCACAGUUGGUAACACGAUCCAUGUGCAGAGAUCGUACGUGGAUGAACUCAAACCAUACUACCCGCUAUCAUUAUUGGACCUCGUGGUGGCUGCCCCUCUAACAUACACACACGACGCGCAUAGUCGGUAGGAAUAAGUUUGUUCCGCGGUGUUUUGUUUCGCAUAGGGUUGCCAUUCCAAGGUGAUGGAUGUGUUAAUUAUUAAUCGGUCGUUAAGAAACAUUGUUCUGUCCCUUAAGUUGCAUGAAUACGGUCGUUAGAAGUAUUUUAGUAUAAUCUAGAUUUGAAGCUUUCGUGACU
Petromyzon marinus (sea lamprey) is the source of this 3036-nucleotide long non-coding RNA. RefSeq lists it as uncharacterized. The record is from RefSeq and is a predicted model, not a curated record. NCBI's taxonomy places the organism in Eukaryota, Metazoa, Chordata, Hyperoartia, Petromyzontiformes, Petromyzontidae.